CCUACGGGUGGCAGCAGUGAGGAAUAUUGGUCAAUGGGCGGAAGCCUGAACCAGCCAAGUCGCGUGAGGGAUUAAGGCCCUGCGGGUCGUAAACCUCUUUUGCCGGGGAGCAGAGGUCCGGACGUGUCCGGGCCGGGAGAGUACCCGGAGAAAAAGCAUCGGCUAACUCCGUGCCAGCAGCCGCGGUAAUACGGAGGAGGCGAGCGUUAUCCGGAUUUAUUGGGUUUAAAGGGUGCGAAGGGGGAGGUGCAAGUCAGUGGUCAAAUUGCGGGGGUCAACCCCGUACUGCCGUUGAAACUGCAUCCCUUGAGUGCGCGAGAAGUAUGCGGAAUGCGUGGUGUAGCGGUGAAAUGCAUAGAGAUCACGCAGAACUCCGAUUGCGAAGGCAGCAUACCGGCGCGCAACUGACGCUCAUGCACGAAAGCGUGGGUAUCGAACAGGAUUAGAUACCCGGGUAGUC
This 460-nucleotide ribosomal RNA is filed under the name uncultured bacterium. RNAcentral describes it as "partial 16S ribosomal RNA". It matches the Rfam family "Bacterial small subunit ribosomal RNA", at positions 338 to 795 of the family's 1533-position model. The record is from RNAcentral.